GAUGAAGAACCAGCGAAAUGCGAUAAGUAGUGUGAAUUGCAGAAUUCAGUGAAUCAUCGAAUCUUUGAACGCACAUUGCGCCCUUUGGUAUUCCAAAGGGCAUGCCUGUUCGAGCGUCAUUUGUACCCUCAAGCUUUGCUUGGUGUUGGGCGUCUUGUCUCUAGCUUUGCUGGAGACUCGCCUUAAAGUAAUUGGCAGCCGGCCUACUGGUUUCGGAGCGCAGCACAAGUCGCACUCUCUAUCAGCAAAGGUCUAGCAUCCAUUAAGCCUUUUUUUCAACUUUUGACCUCGGAUCAGGUAGGGAUACCCGCUGAACUUAAGCAUAUCAAUAAGCGGAGGA
RNAcentral lists this unclassified non-coding RNA (340 nucleotides) under soil metagenome. Its description in RNAcentral is "partial contains 5.8S ribosomal RNA, internal transcribed spacer 2, and large subunit ribosomal RNA". The stretch from base 1 to 119 matches the Rfam family "5.8S ribosomal RNA", at positions 35 to 154 of the family's 154-position model. The record is from RNAcentral.